CGUACACGGUGGAUGCCCUGGCAGUCAAGGCGAUGAAGGACGUGCUAAUCUGCGAUAAGCGUCGGUAAGGUGAUAUGAACCGUUUAACCGGCGAUUUCCGAAUGGGGAACCCCGAUCAUUAUCCAAAUGAGGCGAACCGGGGGAACUGAAACAUCUAAGUACCCCGAGGAAAAGAAAUCAACCGAGAUUCCCCCAGUAGCGGCGAGCGAACGGGGAGCAGCCCGAGCCUAAUCAGUGUGUGUGUUGUGGAAGCGUCUGGAAAGGCGCGCGAUACAGGGUGACAGCCCCGUACACAAUGCACAUGCUGUAGCUCGAUGAGUAGGGCGGGCCGUGGUACCUGUCUGAAUAUGGGGGGACCAUCCUCCAAGGCUAAAUACUCUGACUGACCGAUAGUGAACCAGUACCGUGAGGGAAAGGCGAAAAGAACCCCGGCGAGGGGAGUGAAAAAGAACCUGAAACCGUGUACGUACAAGCAGUGGGAGGCACCUUAUGCGUGUUAUGGCGUGCCUUUUGUAUAAUGGGUCAGCGACUUAUAUUCUGUAGCAAGGUUAACCGGGGAGCCGAAGGGAAACCGAGUCUUAACGGGCGUUAAGUUGCAGGGUAUAGACCCGAAACCCGGUGAUCUAGCCAUGGGCAGGUUGAAGGUUGGGUAACACUAACUGGAGGACCGAACCGACUAAUGUUGAAAAAUUAGCGGAUGACUUGUGGCUGGGGGUGAAAGGCCAAUCAAACCGGGAGAUAGCUGGUUCUCCCCGAAAGCUAUUUAGGUAGCGCCUCGUGAAUCAUCUCCGGGGGUAGAGCACUGUUUCGGCAAGGGGGUCGACUUCCAACCCGAUGCAAACUGCGAAUACCGGAGAUGUUAUCACGGGAGACACACGGCGGGUGUAACGUCCGUCGUGAAGAGGGAAACAACCCAGACCGCAGCUAAGGUCCCAAAGUCAUGGUUAAGUGGGAAACGAUGUGGGAAGGCCCAGACAGCCAGGAUGUUGGCUUAGAAGCAGCCAUCAUUUAAAGAAAGCGUAAUAGCUCACUGGUCGAGUCGGCCUGCGCGGAAGAUGUACGGGGCUAAACCAUGCACCGAAGCUGCGGCAGCGACGUUAUGCGUUGUUGGGUAGGGGAGCGUUCUGUAGCCUGCGAAGGUGUGCUGUGAGGCAUGCUGGAGGUAUCAGAAGUGCGAAUGCUGACAUAAGUAACGAUAAAGCGGGUGAAAAGCCCGCUCGCCGGAAGACCAAGGGUUCCUGUCCAACGUUAAUCGGGGCAGGGUGAGUCGACCCUAAGGCGAGGCCGAAAGGCGUAGUCGAUGGGAAACAGGUUAAUAUUCCUGUACUUGGUGUGUGGGUGAUGGAGGGACGGAGAAGGCUAUGUUAUGCCAAGCUAUGGCUGCUGGUUGGUACGCUCAAGGGCGAUCGGGUCAGAAAAUCUACCGGUCACAUGCCUCAGACGUAUCGGGAGCUUCCUCGGAAGCGAAGUAACAAAGCCCUCUUCCAGGAAAAGCUUCUAAACGUUGAAACAUGUCAAAUCGUACCCCAAACCGACACAGGUGGUCAGGUAGAGAAUACCAGGCGCUUGAGAGAACUCGGGUGAAGGAACUAGGCAAAAUGGUGCCGUAACUUCGGGAGAAGGCACGCUGAUUAGCUCGCCUGAUCAGUCGAAGAUACCAGCUGGCUGCAACUGUUUAUUAAAAACACAGCACUGUGCAAACACGAAAGUGGACGUAUACGGUGUGACGCCUGCCCGGUGCCGGAAGGUUAAUGGGGUUGCAAAGCUCUCGAAGCCCCGGUAAACGGCGGCCGUAACUAUAACGGUCCUAAGGUAGCGAAAUUCCUUGUCGGGUAAGUUCCGACCUGCACGAAUGGCGUAAUGAUGGCCAGGCUGUCUCCACCCGAGACUCAGUGAAAUUGAACUCGCUGUGAAGAUGCAGUGUACCCGCGGCAAGACGGAAAGACCCCGUGAACCUUUACUAUAGCUUGACACUGAACAUUGAGCCUUGAUGUGUAGGAUAGGUGGGAGGCUUUGAAGUGUGGACGCCAGUCUGCAUGGAGCCGGCCUUGAAAUACCACCCUUUAAUGUUUGAUGUUCUAACCCGAAUCCGGGGACAGUGUCUGGUGGGUAGUUUGACUGGGGCGGUCUCCUCCUAAAGAGUAACGGAGGAGCACGAAGGUUGGCUAAUCCUGGCAUCAGGAGGUUAGUGCAAUGGCAUAAGCCAGCUUGACUGCGAGCGUGACGGCGCGAGCAGGUGCGAAAGCAGGUCAUAGUGAUCCGGUGGUCUGAAUGGAAGGGCCAUCGUCAACGGAAAAGGUACUCCGGGGAUAACAGGCUGAUACCGCCCAAGAGUUCAUAUCGACGGCGGUGUUUGGCACCUCGAUGUCGGCUCAUCACAUCCUGGGGCUGAAGUAGGUCCCAAGGGUAUGGCUGUUCGCCAUUUAAAGUGGUACGCGAGCUGGGUUUAGAACGUCGUGAGACAGUUCGGUCCCUAUCUGCCGUGGGCGGAGAACUGAGGGGGGCUGCUCCUAGUACGAGAGGACCGGAGUGGACGCAUCACUGGUGUUCGGGUUGUCAGCCAUGGCACUGCCCGGUAGCUAAAUGCGGAGAGAUAAGUGCUGAAAGCAUCUAAGCACGAAACUUGCCCCGAGAUGAGUUCUCCCGAAGGAACGUUGAAGACGACGACGUUGAUAGGCCGGGUGUGUAAGCGCAGCAAUGCGUUGAGCUAACCGGUACUAAUGAACCGAGGUCUUGACCA
Molecule: ribosomal RNA, 2740 nt
Filed under: Escherichia coli
Lineage: Bacteria; Pseudomonadati; Pseudomonadota; Gammaproteobacteria; Enterobacterales; Enterobacteriaceae
Description: 23S ribosomal RNA from Escherichia coli (PDB 4V4W, chain B0)
Rfam family: Bacterial large subunit ribosomal RNA
Source: RNAcentral